ACGCUCGACACCUACGGGAGGCNGCAGUGGGGAAUAUUGCACAAUGGGGGAAACCCUGAUGCAGCGACGCCGCGUGGAGGAAGAAGGUCUUCGGAUUGUAAACUCCUGUUGUUGGGGAAAAAGAGGAUGGUACCCAACAAGGAAGUGACGGCUAACUACGUGCCAGCAGCCGGGUAAUCUGAGCGGGCUGGCAAGGC
RNAcentral lists this ribosomal RNA (197 nucleotides) under uncultured bacterium. Its description in RNAcentral is "partial 16S ribosomal RNA". It matches the Rfam family "Bacterial small subunit ribosomal RNA", at positions 328 to 539 of the family's 1533-position model. The record is from RNAcentral.